This 550-nucleotide long non-coding RNA is filed under the name Fragaria vesca (wild strawberry). RNAcentral's name for it is "long non-coding RNA (FVES_LNC004690)". The record is from RNAcentral. Lineage: Eukaryota; Viridiplantae; Streptophyta; Magnoliopsida; Rosales; Rosaceae.
AGAUCUCAAAAAUAGGUUAAAUGAGAGAGGAGGGUAGAACGGUCAUGUAAAAAGAGUGAAAAUAGACUAUUUUAUCAUUUAACAUGUUUUAAGGUGAUCAUUUUAUCAUAUAACAUGUUUUAAUGGUGACUUUUUUAUCAUGUGGAAUAUUUGAAGACUAUUUUAUCAUUUUUACUUUCAAAUGGUAGUUUAAUGUUAAAUACCCAAUUAUUUUUCCAUCCAAAAAAAAAACAGAGGUUAUGAGCGCAAAUAAAAUAUAAAAUUUCAAAAUAAAAGAUUGAGAUCUUAAUAGCUCUUUCUAUGUUUACACAACCACAUAACAAACGCAUAAUUUGGUACUUUGUGGCCAAGAAUCCCCAAGAUGAUAGCUCGUUUCAAGACUUUAUAUGCAAAAAAGUAACAUUUUUUCAGAAAUUGUUAACAAACCCCAAACUUCAUCUCUUCUCUUAGUCAUAAUUAUUUUUUCUUUUGUGUGUGCUGUAAUAGUCUUUUAAUGGGUAUAACCGUAUAAGGGUAUUGGACUCUUGGAGUAGGAUCUCCAUCUCUGAUG